Molecule: unclassified non-coding RNA, 225 nt
Filed under: Hevea brasiliensis (rubber tree)
Lineage: Eukaryota; Viridiplantae; Streptophyta; Magnoliopsida; Malpighiales; Euphorbiaceae
Source: RNAcentral
CGUCAACAAGUUCACUGAACCAUUCCACCACCAUGAGACACAUCCGUCACAAUCGUCAGCUUAUCUCGAGAACCACCGUUCGCCGCCACUACGCCACCAAAUAUACGGCCAAAAUCACCUCAACAUCCUCCACAGGCCGCAGCCUCUCCGCCGAAGUAACUCUACCUCUUCCCUCCGACCCUCGCGGUUACCCACUCCCCCGCCGUCAUCUUAUCUGUAAAGCUA